This is a long non-coding RNA of Lingula anatina, 276 nucleotides long. Lineage: Eukaryota; Metazoa; Brachiopoda; Lingulata; Lingulida; Lingulidae. The record is from RefSeq and is a predicted model, not a curated record.
GCAAGGCAAAUCUGCUGGUUAUCGGAGCCGGUGGUUUGGGAUUAUGGUGCAUACAAUUUGCUAAACACAUUCUGCCGCCAGAGGUCAGUGUGUUCUCGGCCGAUAUCACGGAAGAGAAACUGAAGUUGGCUCAAGAUGCCAAUGCCGACGGUACGAUCUUAUGGACGAAAGGCGCCAAUGAGGAGGCGCUUCUUGCACAUACAAGAGAGAUCAGCGGCGUUGGGAAGAUCGGUUUCGACGCUGUUAUAGAUCUCGUUGGUUCAGAAGAUACUUCCA